RNAcentral lists this ribosomal RNA (1102 nucleotides) under fungal endophyte. Its description in RNAcentral is "eukaryotic LSU rRNA". The stretch from base 516 to 1102 matches the Rfam family "Eukaryotic large subunit ribosomal RNA", at positions 1 to 599 of the family's 3401-position model. Lineage: Eukaryota; Fungi. The record is from RNAcentral.
GAUCAUUACUGAGUUACCGCUCUAUAACCCUUUGUGAACAUACCUACAACUGUUGCUUCGGCGGGUAGGCCGUCCCCUGAAAAGGACGCCUCCCGGCCCGGACCGGACCCCCCGCGGGACCGGACCCGGCGCCCGCCGGAGGAUAACCAAACUCUAUUGUAACGACGUUUCUUCUGAGUGGCAUAAGCAAAAUAAUCAAAACUUUUAACAACGGAUCUCUUGGUUCUGGCAUCGAUGAAGAACGCAGCGAAAUGCGAUAAGUAAUGUGAAUUGCAGAAUUCAGUGAAUCAUCGAAUCUUUGAACGCACAUUGCGCCCGCCAGCAUUCUGGCGGGCAUGCCUGUUCGAGCGUCAUUUCAACCCUCAAGCUCUGCUUGGUGUUGGGGCUCUACGGUCGACGUAGGCCCUCAAAGGUAGUGGCGGACCCUCCCGGAGCCUCCUUUGCGUAGUAACAUUUCGUCUCGCACUGGGAUCCGGAGGGACUCUUGCCGUAAAACCCCCCAAUUUUCCAAAGGUUGACCUCGGAUCAGGUAGGAAUACCCGCUGAACUUAAGCAUAUCAAUAAGCGGAGGAAAAGAAACCAACAGGGAUUGCCCCAGUAACGGCGAGUGAAGCGGCAACAGCUCAAAUUUGAAAUCUGGCCCCAGGCCCGAGUUGUAAUUUGCAGAGGAUGCUUUUGGCGCGGUGCCUUCCGAGUUCCCUGGAACGGGACGCCAUAGAGGGUGAGAGCCCCGUACGGUUGGACACCAAGUCUUUGUAAAGCUCCUUCGACGAGUCGAGUAGUUUGGGAAUGCUGCUCAAAAUGGGAGGUAUAUUUCUUCUAAAGCUAAAUAUUGGCCAGAGACCGAUAGCGCACAAGUAGAGUGAUCGAAAGAUGAAAAGCACUUUGAAAAGAGGGUUAAACAGCACGUGAAAUUGUUAAAAGGGAAGCGCUUAUGACCAGACUUGCGCCCGGUGAAUCACCCAGCUCUCGCGGCUGGGGCACUUUGCCGGCUCAGGCCAGCAUCAGCUCGCUGUCGGGGACAAAAGCUUCGGGAACGUAGCUCUCUUCGGGGAGUGUUAUAGCCCGUUGCACAAUACCCUUCGGCGGGCUGAGGUACGCG